This is a long non-coding RNA of Fopius arisanus, 533 nucleotides long. RefSeq lists it as uncharacterized. The record is from RefSeq and is a predicted model, not a curated record. The transcript is spliced from 3 exons. Lineage: Eukaryota; Metazoa; Arthropoda; Insecta; Hymenoptera; Braconidae.
ACCAGAAACCAUCACUCGUUGUACAGCCGCCCCAGACCUGAUGGGUUUUUUUGUGAGGAGGAUAAUUUUGAAGAGAAGUAUUGGAAAGUUUAAAGGGAAGUGGAGAGAAAGUGAAGAAAUAGAGGAGAAUUGCGAGGAGAUUUUUAUGGAGGAGGACUAGACCCAGGAGUGAAGAAAAAAUAGGAGAGGAAGAACGAGAAGUUUGAGAGGAUAAUUUGGUAGAGAGGAAAACCUAGAGGAUUUUUCCCGUAGUCGAUUUGCCGCCAUUUUCAUGUAAACAUUCGGAAUUUACACGCGAGACACCUCGAGUGAGACGGACAACUUUUGGUAGCUUCGACAAAUGAGCGAGAGAGAUGGCGGGAGAGGGGGAUUAUGUGGUGACGGGCCCAUCAUUGUCUUGCAGCCUCGCUUUGUCAGUACAUCUAACGAAAUCGGAGCAACAACUAAUGAAACUGGAAAGUUACGUGUUCCCCGAUUCUGAACUCAGAGCUGAAUUUGAGGAAGAUGACAGCCGAAUGGAGGACUGGUGACAG